RNAcentral lists this long non-coding RNA (221 nucleotides) under Phoenix dactylifera (date palm). RNAcentral describes it as "long non-coding RNA (PDAC_LNC020899)". The record is from RNAcentral. Lineage: Eukaryota; Viridiplantae; Streptophyta; Magnoliopsida; Arecales; Arecaceae.
UUUUGUUUUUGUGUAGGAAGGUUAAGAAUAGGCUCAAGUAGCUUAUGCUAGAAAUGUGGGUGGUCAAAAGAACACUCGAGGUCUUUCAGCAAAAGAAAAAACAAAAAGAACACUCAAGGCCUCAUCCAUAAAGGAGCGAAAAAACACUUGACCUAGAUGAGAUAAGAAAGGCAUAAUUGCUAAAUAAUAUGCUUAUUCGAUUAUAGUCCGCCUAUUUGUGA